Non-coding RNA from Culex pipiens (northern house mosquito), 72 nucleotides. Lineage: Eukaryota; Metazoa; Arthropoda; Insecta; Diptera; Culicidae. The record is from Rfam.
GGGCCCGUGGUGUUGAGGUAAGCGUGGUUGCCUCUCACCCAGUUGGCUUGGGUUCGAUCCCAGACGGUCCCA